RNAcentral lists this ribosomal RNA (460 nucleotides) under uncultured bacterium. RNAcentral describes it as "partial 16S ribosomal RNA". It matches the Rfam family "Bacterial small subunit ribosomal RNA", at positions 338 to 795 of the family's 1533-position model. The record is from RNAcentral.
CCUACGGGAGGCAGCAGUGAGGAAUAUUGGUCAAUGGACGAGAGUCUGAACCAGCCAAGUAGCGUGAAGGAUGACUGCCCUAUGGGUUGUAAACUUCUUUUAUAUGGGAAUAAAACAGGGUAUGCAUACCCUCUUGUAUGUACCAUAUGACUAAGGAUCGGCUAACUCCGUGCCAGCAGCCGCGGUAAUACUGUGGAUCCGAGCGUUAUCCGGAUUUAUUGGGUUUAAAGGGUGCGUAGGUGGAUUGUUAAGUCAGUGGUGAAAGUUUGCGGCUCAACCGUAAAAUUGCAGUUGAAACUGGCAGUCUUGAGUACAGUAGAGGUGGGCGGAAUUCGUGGUGUAGCGGUGAAAUGCUUAGAUAUCACGAAGAACUCCGAUUGCGAAGGCAGCUCACUGGACUGCAACUGACACUGAUGCUCGAAAGUGUGGGUAGCAAACAGGAUUAGAUACCCCUGUAGUC